This 253-nucleotide ribosomal RNA is filed under the name uncultured bacterium. RNAcentral describes it as "partial 16S ribosomal RNA". It matches the Rfam family "Bacterial small subunit ribosomal RNA", at positions 524 to 776 of the family's 1533-position model. The record is from RNAcentral.
UACAGAGGGGGCAAGCGUUGUUCGGAAUCACUGGGCGUAAAGCGCACGUAGGCGGCUUUCUAAGUCAGGGGUGAAAUCCUGGAGCUCAACUCCAGAACUGCCUUUGAUACUGGGGAGCUCGAGUCCGGAAGAGGUGAGUGGAACUCCGAGUGUAGAGGUGAAAUUCGUAGAUAUUCGGAAGAACACCAGUGGCGAAGGCGGCUCACUGGUCCGGUACUGACGCUGAGGUGCGAAAGCGUGGGGAGCAAACAGG